AAUUAACACAAGAGUGGUCCAGUAAAUUCAUGCUCACCAAAUGUAAAGAUUCAUAGAUCCCGAGGACAGUGUGGCCACAGCAGCUGCCAGAGGGUGUCAUCACAACACCACAGGACAACCCCAUCCAGAUGGAGCCUUUGCCUCCUCUGCCUGCUCUCGUCCUACCAAUGGAGCUGGAUCCACAAAUGCCGCAGUAGCCAACGCCUUCUACAUUGUGGUAUGGGCCUCAGGAGGUGGACAUGUACCCUUCUGGAUGUCUUCCGGGGGACAUUUCCACCAGUGCACAGGCCAGAUAGUGGGGUAUGACUGGAAGUCUCACGUCCCCUGCAGCCACAGCUUCCAGUCCAUUAGUGUGUCCACCCUGCUGCCUCCCCCACUGUUUUCGUGCUCCAUAUACAAUGACAGUCCAUCACCUUGGUGGGGAGCAAUGUAACGGCAUAAAGUCAAGCACCAGCAUGCUAUUUGGGAAUGAUAGAAAAGAGGUGGCUGUGAGAAGACGUCAGCCAGUCACACGCUGACUGACCCCUCUCCAGGAUGACUACACGACAACAGCAGCCCCUAUGUGAAGAGGACAUAAGUGCCGUGACUGACUGGUGAUGCUCCAGUUGAAUAGCCACUUCACGACCAGCGGCUGGAUAGAAGCGUCAGUGCUCAUUACUUUGCUUGUACACUCUAUGUAACACAGACAUGGGAACUGUUAUACUGAAGAAAUUGCUUAUUUUGUAUGUCACUCUUUGCUUGUGACACAGCUGUGUAAUUGUCAGAUUUAAGUAUUGUCUUUUAAUUUUUUGUAAUAAAACUCAUUAAUAUGA
This 812-nucleotide long non-coding RNA is filed under the name Schistocerca americana (American grasshopper). Its description in RNAcentral is "uncharacterized LOC124554837, transcript variant X2". Lineage: Eukaryota; Metazoa; Arthropoda; Insecta; Orthoptera; Acrididae. The record is from RNAcentral.